Molecule: long non-coding RNA, 365 nt
Filed under: Rhinopithecus bieti (black snub-nosed monkey)
Lineage: Eukaryota; Metazoa; Chordata; Mammalia; Primates; Cercopithecidae
Description: lncRNA (ENSRBIG00000045530.1)
Source: RNAcentral
UUUGAUGGGCAGUAGGGAGCCAUGGAAGGUGUGAGAGUGAGGGAGGACUAGGGGGUAUUUGUGCCUUAGAUCAUUAUGGCAGUGCGCCAGAUGAAAGGAUUGAGGGGGUUGAUUCUGGAACUGAAGGCACCAGAAGCCUGCAGGGUUAUUCCUGCCACACGUCCUAUCACUCCAGCAAAGCAUUAGCAAAAGCCAGCCAUCCAUCUGCUGACUCCACAGAAACAGAACCUCAUCCGACUCUCACUGCUCUUCAGCACCUCAUGCAGGGCCUGGCACUGCCUGAUACUAAUAGACGCCUGUGGACGAUGGUCAGCAGAGGCGUGCACUGCCCAGCUGCCUGCCACAGCUGCCCUUUAAGACAGCGG